Molecule: long non-coding RNA, 8884 nt
Organism: Cyprinus carpio carpio
Lineage: Eukaryota; Metazoa; Chordata; Actinopteri; Cypriniformes; Cyprinidae
Source: Ensembl
GGGGAGAGGUGGUGAUGGAGGGAUGCCAGAUUGCUUUUCCCACAGGUGCCAGGGCAGCAGAAUGCCGAAUGAACAGUGCUCCUGUCUAAUUUUACUUCCCACCUAGGCAGAUAGGAUAUGACAUUCACAUCUAUAGAGUGAAGAUGAAUGCUUGGAGUCAGCAUUUUUGGGAUUUUUUUAUUUAUUUUUUUCACAGGGCUCAAUGAUAAGUGUGAGGCUGGUUCGGGCUUGUUGACAGAACCGCCACUUGCUUAGAUGGGCCAAUGCUGGAUUUACUCUAUGUUGCUGUCAUGCCACCUCUUUGCCCUCUACAAAGGUUUGCUGUUAUUGGGUAAUGAUGUGUAGGGUUAGAGGUGACAGGCGUCAGGCGUCAGGCUAAUUAGUGGGUAAGUUAUCAGUCUAAACUUUUUUGGUAUUUUGAGAUAUCAAGUUACUUUCUAAGUAUCACAAUAAAUAGUAACUAUGCUACCUUAAUUUCUCAGAAUAUCACUUGCGUGGUUGUUCAUGUUGGACAAUACACAAUAAAUGCCUAAAAAUCAAACAGUAAAUUUUAUCCAGAAUUUUAUAUAAGAUGUAUUACUGUUUUGUUAAUUUAUUUGACUAAAUUAUAUUUUAAGACAUACUUAAUAUUUCAAUCAAAAUAUUUGAGAAUGGAAAAUAAUUUUCAAGGAAUAAAAUUAUGACUCAUUCAAUAUCGGUAUUCUUCAUCUUCACCAGCAGCACUCAAAGAGAGGAAACUUGAUUUUAGAGUAAAUGUUGAAAUUAAGUGUUUUGUGUUUCUAUUAAAAAUUAAUCUUGGAUACAGUGCUGUGAAAACGUUUUUGCUCCCAUCCUGUUUUUUUUUUUUUCACACUUGAAUGAUUCAGAUCAAACUAAUUUUAAUAGUACACAAAGAUAACCAGAGUAAAUACAAAAUGCAGUUGUGAAAUAAUGAUUUCAUUUAUUAAGGGAAAAAAAGUUGUCCAAACAUGCCUGGCCCUAAAAAAAAGUAACUGCCCACUAAAUCUAUAACUGGUUGUGCCACCCUUUACAGCAACAAUUGCAAUCAAGCAUUUGCCAUAACUGGCAAGGAGUCUUUCACGUCGCUGUGGAUUAAUUUCGGCCCACUCUUCUUUACAGAAUUGUUUUAAUUCAACCACAUUGGAGGGUUUUUGAACAUGAAUGGACUGUUUAAGGUCAUGCCACAGCAUUUCAAUCGGAUUUAAGUCCAGACUUUGACUUGGCCACUCGAAACCUUCAUUUUGUUUUCUAGAGCCAUUCUGACAGGUAGACUUGCUGGUGUGUUUGGGAUCAUCGUCCUGCUGCAUAACCCAAGUGUGCUUGAGCUUAAGGUCACAAACUGACGGCCGGACAUCUCCUUCAGGAUUUUCUGAUAGAGUGCAGAAUUUAUGGUUCCAUCAAUUAUGGCAAGAUGUCUAGGUCCUGAAGCUGCAAAGCAGCCCCGGAUCAUCACACUUAUGAAAUGCUGUGUUGGUUUUACGCCAGUUGUAAUGGGACACACACCUUCCAACUUUUGUCUCAUCAGUCUACAGAAUAUUUGCCCAAAAGUCUUUUUGUCCAAAAGUCAUGUUGUCAAGAUAUUUUUUGGCAAAUGUGAGACAAGCCUUAGAGUUCUUUUUGGUCAGCAAUGGCUUUUGCCUUGGAACUCUCCCAUGGAUGCCGUUUUUACCCAGUCUCUUUCUUAUUGUUGAAUCAUGAAAACUGACCUUAAUUGAAGCAAGUGAGGCCUGCAGUUCUUCAGAUGUUGUUCUGGGUUCUUUUAAUUUGGAUUUAACAGGAGGGGGCAAUUCAUUUUUUUUCACAUAGGGCCAGGUAGUUGUGCAGGUAGACAGCUUUUUUCCCUUAAUAAAUGAAGUCACCAUUUAAAACCUGCAUUUUGUAUUUACCUGCAUUAUCUUUGUGUUAUAUUGAAAUUUGUUUGAUGACCUGAUUCUAUUAAGUGUAACAAAUAUGCAAAACAUUUAAAAAAACAGGAAGGGGGCAAAAACCUUUUCACGGCACUGUAUCUGUUAUCUCUUUGAAAAGUAUGUUAUCUGUAUGUCUUAUGUCAGAAUAUAUAGGGGUUUAUGUAUCCAUUUUGGUGGGUAAACAUUGUGGUGAAGAAUAGAGCCUUAUGUUAGCACAUGUAGGUGAAUUAUAGCUAAUAGUUAGCUGCUACUUUUAGUGUAUUCAAAUGAAAUAGGUUUACAUUACUCAUAAAUAUUCAAAAAACCACUACUCAAUAUUCAAAAACAAACAUUUGUUGGGUUCACUUAGUUUUAUUUGUCAUGGUACCAAAUGUAAUUUCAUGCUGACUUUGUUUUAAAACAGUUUGUUUUGUUAAGAAACUCAAAACAGGAAAAAAAAAAAAAACACACUGUGUGUAUAGCAUUUAUAGUAUAAUAAUAAUAAUAAUAAUAAUAAUAAUAAUAAUAAUAAUAAUAAUAAUAAUAAUAAUAAAGUAUAAAAUUAAGCAUUUUUUCCCUUCUUUCAGGCCAGUGAAAAUUUCACCAGGCCAUGUAAAAAUGUGAACUUGGUUUGCAGAAAAGUCUUUAUUGUUGAGCCCUGGUUUGUGCUGUCUUUUAGAUUGAACUAUGAAAUCUGGGGUGUGAGAACAGAAUUUUAAAGAAUGCAUAACAUAUAACAUCUCUUCAGAGGCUGGGUGCAAUUUCCUGAAGGAGCCUCACAGGUCCCCAUUCUUGUGGUUUGAAUGCCUCUUGAAACUUCAAUAGAUGGAGUGAACCCAUUUCAAAACACCUUGGGUCAUUUCACUUCAAGCUUUGCACAAUGUGACGUAGCAAUUAUCACACAUGCUGAGUAUGAUAAAGCAGUUCUCCAUGAAUUUGUAAUAGAGCCACAUGUUGUUGAACAGCACUGCAAUUAGAGUGCAGCUGUACGGAAUGUGACGUGACGAUUGUGUCUACUCACCCAUGAACAAAGUCUCUAGAAUAUUCAUGCUGCUCAUACAUCACCACAUAUUUGUGUCAUGGAAAUCGACCAUUGCAUUUUUUGCCUGGACUUUGCGGUCCAUGGCUUGCCUUUAAUUUAAUUUGGGGUGAAAGCAUCAAAGCAAAUUACAUGCAUGGCAAGUGACAUGCAUGCUUAGAGUAUGUUCAUAAUAUAACCAUGUGUAAAAUACAUUUUAUUUUCAAAAUUGUUGUUAUUUCUUAAAGCUAUAGUUCACCCAAAAAUUAAAUUUAGCUGAAAAUGUACUCAUCCUCGGGCCAUCCAAGAAUGAGCUUUUGUUUUAGUUUUUUUCAUCAGAACAGAUUUGGAUAAAUGUAUCAUUACAUCACUCGCUCAGCAAUGGAUCCUCUGCAGUGGAUGGGUGCCGUUAAUGAGAGCCCAAACAGCUGACAAAAACAUCACAGUAUUCCACUGAUCAAUCUGAAGAAAACAAGACACCAGAUGCUCUGUAAAUAUCGAAAAUUUAACGAUGGACACACAUUGAGAUGCAGCUCAGCUGAUGUUCACAUUAUUCCACGUAUAUCUUCAAAUUUGAACAUGACCAAAUGGUGGUUAUAUUUCCAAGGCAGAAGAAGAGAGAAUCUCCUUUGUGAGAGAAGCCUCUUGUGUCACUGUGUGCUGAGGACUGUGAUAUCUCAGCAGGCCAAACACCACGUUCCUCUUCAGGAAGUAUUGAGCCCCAGUUGAUGCUCCUGGCCCCCAGGUGAACUCUGUAAAUGCCCGGUCCCUCUUUUCUUCUCUUCUAUACCUCUCUGUUCGUGUCCUUCCUCCCUUGUGUACAGACUACCUUAAAAAAAAAAAAACAACUCCAGCUAGCUUCAAAGUGUCCUUUUUGUCUGUUGAAUGAUGCUUGUUGUUUGUAGUUUUAAAUGUCUUGUCAUUUACGAUAAAAUGCAAAUGUACUGAAGUGCCAGACUAGACAUGCAUGUGUGGGUGAUUUCUUAUGCAAUAUGUCCAUCUGAGACAGUCUUGAUUUAUUAAUGUUUUGAUAUCUGGAUGAUUUUUUGAUACAUGAAGGUACUGUAUGUAUACAUAUUUUAAUUUAUAAAUUAAAAACUGGAGACAAACAACAAUAAUUGAACACUACAAUUAGCCAUAAAUGUCAAGAAUAUAGUCAAUACUACUUGAUGAUGGGCACUAGUUAUUAUAUUAUUGUCAUUUUUUCCUCAACCCUAUGUUGUUUUAACCCCUUUGUUUUUGUCCUGUAAAACACAAAUGGAGUUUUAGGCAGGAUAUCAGAGCUCCUGAUUUCCAUGCAGGGAAUCCAACAUUUGAUCUGUUAAGCUUCAAAAGGACAAAAAACAUCCAUAAAAGUGUGUGUUUUUUGAAAGUCUGACUCUUGACACAAUUUAUUGAGUUUUAAAUGCAUAUUUGUGCAGUAACAGAAUGUAUUAGUGAUGCAGUAGCAAUAUGAAUUUUGGAAUAGAUUACACAUCUGUCAGGAGAGAUAAUGUAUGUUCAGCCUGUUUUCUUAGCAGACCGUUUUAAUUCUACAACAAAUUAUUGGUCUCAUAUCCAUGUUUAGCUGUCACAUUCAUCUCGCAAGAAUUUUUACCAGACAUUUUGAUUGUCUUCAAAUUCAGUACAUCAUUCAGUCUUACUCCUUUUAUUUCAUUUAUUUAUUUUUUUAAGGAAGAGGAGUGCAGACAGGAAAGCAGAGGGGAUAGAAAGGAGAAUGUGUUCUGGGCAUGACUCAGGUUGAAUUAAAACGUUUUGUUUAACAAGUAAUGAAUUCUUGCUGAUAUGCCGUUGACAUUAUAGACUGUUAGCUUGUUAUGUUUGUGAUGGAGCAGAAGCGCAUAGAUAGAGAACACAGAUGACCCUCAUACCAACACAGAACAUUUCCCAACAUUAGGGCAUGGUUCUUGCUUGGCUGUUUUAACCUUGUAGUUUUAUUUUUUAUAACAACAACAACAACAAAAAAAUGUUCCCAGAACAUGCUUGGUGUGUCAUUGCAGAUGGUGUGGUGUAUUUACAGUAUGUCUGUGUUUUUUUUUUCCUAUAGCCCAUUGAAAGUCCUGAACGUUUAACUUAUGUUUAAGUAUCUUAAGAGCCUGAUGCAGAAAAUCCCUUGUUAAGACAAGCUUUUCUUCCAGGGGUCUUAAUAGAGGAUUAGAGAGGAAUCCUCUGGCCAGAGCAGUCAUCUGAAUUUAAUCCACCUUGCAAGAUUGCCUUUAAUUGUCAUAACCUGACAGAACGGAACAACAGAGACUGAUGCAAAGCUCUAAAUUAGCCAUAGAGAAUUAAAAUGUGUCAAGCUGGUGUAUCUGGGGCUACAAGUAUCUGCAUCUGAUAAAAUCCUUACAUAUAAAUGUUGAUAAUUAAAAACAUGGACAAUUGAACAAAUUGACCUAAUUGGUCUGAUAAAGCUUUGCAGGCUCCUACAUGUUGUGAAUACAUUGGAGAUUGUCAUGAAAUAAGCAAAUAAAUGCUGAGGAAAACAUUAUAUGUUUUCAUUCAUUUUAAUCCCUUUGUGUUUUGUUCCUCAGUGUCCUCUCUUGGCUGCUGAAGAAUUUUAUUGGAAUAUUUUAGCAUGAGCCUGGCUUCCGAAGGACUCUCCUUUAUUUGAGCCCAGCAUGUGCCAGAUAUUUAACCCUUUAACCUUUUUCUGAUUGGAGAGGAAUGCUGGCCUAUCAUAAAAUAAAAUAAAAUAGGUACUAAAUGAAAUGGUCAAAAUGACUAUAUUUAAUAGGUGGUUGGACAGCCAUGAUAAUGCACUCUAAUGUGAUGAAUAAAUGCCAUUUUAGAUGGAGUGGAUAGAAAGAGAGUGAGAUAGAGAGCUUUUUCAAGUCAAAUUACAUGAGAGGUCUGGUGUUGUUUUAAAAGCUCUUGACAGUCUAGUAAUCACAUCAUUUACUAGUGUGUUAUGUUUGUACACUUCUUGAAAAUUAAUGAUAAAUAAUUUUUUAUUUUUUUAAACUAGCAAAAUGCAUCCUUAAUUCUUCAGCGGCCAUAUGAUUUUGCCUACAUUUUAAUGAUGUAUAUGGCUGUAUGAGGACUUUGUUGUGUGCUUCUAGUUUAAUGUGCUUCAAGCCAGCAGCUUCACUUUGAACUGGUGUAAUAAUGUCAUGCUUCAUCUAAUGAGUCAUUUUAUCCUGGCAUAUUCUAAUACCACACUGUCACUUCUAAUGAGUUUCAUAAACAUUUGCUUUGAAAUUUAAUUGAAUAAACCUCUCAUUCUGAAAAUGUGAUAUAAUGCCAAACUCAUCUCAACCCUUUGAAGCACCAUAAGCAUGUGCAAACCUCUAUAUCUGUAUAUUUCUACAUACCUGUAUACUUCAUUUGAACCUUUGCUCAAUUAUUUUUGUCUCUACCAGAGAGCUGUAAAAUCAAGUGUUUAUUUUUUUCCCUGUAACCAGAUAAAAAGGGAGAGUGACAGUACUGAGGUCCCCUCUGGAUAUAAAUGUGCACCAUUUGUGAUGAGACUGACAUGAACGGUCUGUUUAACUGUGUCAGAAUUGGACAUUUUUCAUGUUUAAAAAUUAUGCCUUGCAGUGUUUAGCAUACUCUGAUGAGCACAGUUUUUCAUACAAAAAAUAUUGCAUGUAAAAAAAUAAAAUAAAAUACUCCAGUGAUUAAAGAACAUCAUUAGCCAAGAUGGUACAUUUUCCAAAUUAAUUUGGAAGUCCUGAUUGUCCAUGAACCCCAUAAGAACUUGUCACACAGUUUUAUGAAAUAUGCCACCAGGCUUUUUCCUAGUGCCACUUUCUUUUUAUAGACUUUUUUUCUUUGAAGACAAACUAAGGUUAAAUAAUUUCUUGACAGGGAAUGGAUUGACAUAAAAUUGGACAGACAUUUUUGCAUGACCUGUCCAGGCUGUAAUCAUUGCAAGCAAUCAAUUCAUUGGGAACCAAGUUAAACCGGAACUCAAUUUGGUUUGUAGCCUGUGAGAUAAAUCUGAUUCUUCUUAAAGGACUUUCUCAUGGACUUUGCAUAGAUUCUUGAGAUAAAGGUCUAAGAUAUAUUAACUGGAGAGUGUUUAAAAAAUCAUUGUCGAAGGCAGAGGAAGGUACUGAUUUCAAGGGUGUCCAAUGAUCCAUGCAAGACUUUGCACCCAGUCAUUUACUCAUUUCAACAGGUAUAGAUGACAGAAACAGUCUCCCAUCUGCUCAUUUUAGACUUUGCUGGCAGUGCACUCAGUGAAAUGACUAUCAUUAGCUUAAAUAAAUAAAUAAAUUACCACAUAUAUAAACCCUUAAAAUAUAGUUAGUGAAACCGAAAAGGCAAUUUUACUUUGAUAAUUUUAGUAUUAUAUUUUUUUUUUAGAAGAAACAAUUGUUUUUGUGUUGUUGUUGUUGUUGUUGUUGUUGUUUUAUAUGAAUUUUUACCUAAAUUCAUUACUUGAGACUUAUGUGCCCUCUAGAAGCUUGCAUGCUGCAAGUGAACGUUGCUUUAUUGUGCCAUCCCAAAGAGGCACAAAAUCACUUUCACAGACUUCAAGUAUCGUCUAAAAACGCAUCUCUUCCAUCUUUAUUUGACCCUCUAACUCUAGCACUCUCUAUUCUAAUUCUAUUCUUUUAAAAAAAACUUAUCCCUUUUAGACUUGCACUCUAUUCAUUUACUGCUUGUUACUAUUUGUUUUCUUUUCGCUAACUUUUCUAAUCUUUUUGUAUUCUAUUUGUUCUCUUUUUAUUUAUUAUACAGUUAGCAAAAGCAAAAAAGGCCUCUAACACUAGCUUGCUCUAUUCUUUUUCUAUUAUAUCGGUUUUCUUUUUAUUUGACUUGUUAUACAGUAGCACUUGCAUAUCAUUGCUCUUUUGUUGAUUUUGAUUUGCUUCCAUUGUCCUUAUUUGUACAUAAGUCGCUUUGGAUAAAAGUGUCUGCUAAAUGACUAAAUGUAAAUGAAACAAAUGGCUCAUACUGAGACAGAGCAAAAUAUUAGGCUGUCUAUUUUUUGUUCUAUUACUGUUCUAAUAUUGUUACUCCAGUCCAGUGGCGGCUCGUGGGUUUUAAAAUAGAAGAGGCACACUAAUUGUAUUGGUCUGGGAUCCCUGCCGAUUAUUAUUAUUAGUAUUAUUGUUAUUAUUUGCUUAACCACUUUAAAAUGGCUUUUUUAAAAUGGCUUCAUUUAGUCAAAAAAACGUAAAGAAAACGACACACAUACAACAAAAUAAUAUAAUUUCACUUACCUGGCCUAUCACUUGAAGCAAACAUCCAUCCCUUCUUAAAAGUCUGUGUUAAAAGAGAGCUGCCCAUUGUGCAAUUUCACUACUCAUCAUAAGUACUUGAAUCAUCAUCAGUGCAGUGCGAGACAUUCAAACUAAUAUCACGUAAUUUACAUCUCUAUGAUGAGUGGUUGAUAUCAGAAGGGAGGCUAGCCUCCUCUACGAGGUUUCUUUUCUCAACACUCCUCAGCGCUGAAAGUGAACACACGAUGCUGAUUGGCUAAUUUUUUUUUACCAACUGAGGCACGAGAGCUCAAAUCUCCCCCGGCCUCCCCUUACCCUUCUCUAUCACCUAGUGGUUGUAAUUACAUCAGCAGAUUCGGCACAUUCGCGAUAGAAAAGGAGCACUUUCCAACUUCAGUAAAAUGUUAUGGUAUUACAGCUGUGAAAUUACAAACAAAAAAAUACACAUUCUGAGACAUGAACUGAAAUGAAUUGUGAAUUUUAUUAACAUUAAAUAGUCCUUCUCCCAUUUUCACCUCAGAAUUGCCUCCCCUGACGAGCCGCCACAGCUCCAGUCCUAUUGUUGUUACCUGGUUCUUUCUUAUCACUGCUGCUCUAAAAAUAUCAAAAGCUCAAAAAGAAAAAGUAGAAGCAAGUGCAGCCAAAUGUUUUUUGCUGAUAUGGUUAAAAAGAAACCCACUUUUUUAAGCUAAGAAUACGCCAGUGUGUGUUUAGACCCUAUUCUACAGAUGUGGAAGGCGUGCAGGAGAAGCGAGGGUGAGAGAGGACUGGUACAGAGUGAAACAGUGCACUUCUCUUGGCAGAAUCAU